This 114-nucleotide Y RNA is filed under the name Propithecus coquereli (Coquerel's sifaka). RNAcentral describes it as "Y RNA (ENSPCOG00000006184.1)". It matches the Rfam family "Y RNA". From Rfam's summary of the family: Y RNAs are components of the Ro ribonucleoprotein particle (Ro RNP), in association with Ro60 and La proteins. The Y RNAs and Ro60 and La proteins are well conserved, but the function of the Ro RNP is not known. Lineage: Eukaryota; Metazoa; Chordata; Mammalia; Primates; Indriidae. The record is from Rfam by way of RNAcentral.
GGCUGGUCUGAGGUAGUGAGUUAUCUCAACUGAUUAUUCACAGCCAGUUACAGAUGGAACUCUUAGUUCUCCUCUCUUUCCCCUCUUCUCACUAUUGCACUUGACUAGUCUAAA